GCUCAGGGUGUCGAGGUUGUCGUGCUGCAUGUGGAGUUCAGCCGGUGGCGAAAGCCGCUGGUGCAGUCUCCCGUGGAGCUGGACCGUCAGUUGGGAAGAGACCGGAGGCCUGUUGAUGUCGGUGGUUGGGAGGUACGCCCUGGGGUGGCCCUCGGGUGCCCCGGGGUGACGUAUAGCCAUUCCACCGUGGUCUCUGUCGUCUUCCAGGUGCGAUUGGGACGACCGUUCGUCCGAAAUGGGAAGGUGCAGUCUUCCUCCUUGCGAGGGAGUUCGGGCCGGCUCGGCGGUUGCGUUGUGUUGCGGCACCGUGUUCCGUUCUCUCCCCAUUCUGCCUCGGCAAGUGGGGUUGGAGUGCGGCACGGACUGCAUUUGACAGCGUCCCUUCCGGGUCGUGAUCCAAGUCGA
Molecule: unclassified non-coding RNA, 405 nt
Filed under: Demospongiae sp. GW41359
Lineage: Eukaryota; Metazoa; Porifera; Demospongiae
Description: sequence contains 28S rRNA gene
Source: RNAcentral